CCUGCAGGCUCUCCCACCCUUUCCACACCAAGGUCCCUUGGCUGGACCAAUCCCUCAGGGGAAAUGAUCUUUCCAGGAGGCUCUCCCACCCUUUCAACACCAAGCUCCCUUGGUUGGACCAAUCCCUCAGGGGAAAUGAUCUUUCCAGGAGGCUCUCCCACCCUUUCAACACCAAGCUCCCUUGGUUGGACCAAUCCCUCAGGGGAAAUGAUCUUUUCAGGAGGCUCUCCCACCCUUUCAACACCAAGCUCCCUUGGUUGGACCAAUCCCUCAGGGGAAAUGAUCUUUCCAGGAGGCUCUCCCACCCUUUCAACACCAAGCUCCCUUGGUUGGACCAAUCCCUCAGGGGAAAUGAUCUUUCCUGGAGGCUCUCCCACCCUUUCAACACCAAGCUCCCUUGGUUGGACCAAUCCCUCAGGGGAAAUGAUCUUUCCAGGAGGCUCUCCCACCCUUUCAACACCAAGCUCCCUUGGUUGGACCAAUCCCUCAGGGGAAAUGAUCUUUCCAGGAGGCUCUCCCACCCUUUCAACACCAAGGUCCCUUGGUUGGACCAAUCCCUCAGGGGAAAUGAUCUUUCCAGGAGGCUCUCCCACCCUUUCAACACCAAGCUCC
Molecule: long non-coding RNA, 612 nt
Filed under: Sarcophilus harrisii (Tasmanian devil)
Lineage: Eukaryota; Metazoa; Chordata; Mammalia; Dasyuromorphia; Dasyuridae
Description: lncRNA (ENSSHAG00000025134.1)
Source: RNAcentral